Molecule: unclassified non-coding RNA, 292 nt
Filed under: rhizosphere metagenome
Description: partial ribosomal RNA internal transcribed spacer region
Source: RNAcentral
GUAGGUGAACCUGCGGAAGGAUCAUUAUUGAAUGAACUUGGCUUGGUUGUUGCUGGUCUCUUCGGAGGCAUGUGCACACCUUGUCAUCUUUAUAUCUCCACCUGUGCACCUUUUGUAGACCUGGAUUCAACUUUCCGAGGCAACUCGGUCGUGAGGAAUUGCUUAAUGGCUUUCCUUGAAAGUCUCCAGGCCUAUGUUUUCAUAUACACCAUAAGAAUGUAACAGAAUGUCAUUAUUAGACUUAUGUCUUAUAAACUAUAUACAACUUUCAGCAACGGAUCUCUUGGCUCUC